CCUUCCAGACUCCUACGGGAGGCAGCAGUGGGGAAUCUUCCGCAAUGGACGAAAGUCUGACGGAGCAACGCCGCGUGAGUGAUGACGGCCUUCGGGUUGUAAAGCUCUGUUAAUCGGGACGAAAGGCCUUCUUGCGAAUAGUGAGAAGGAUUGACGGUACCGGAAUAGAAAGCCACGGCUAACUACGUGCCAGCAGCCGCGGUAAUACGUAGGUGGCAAGCGUUGUCCGGAAUUAUUGGGCGUAAAGCGCGCGCAGGCGGAUAGGUCAGUCUGUCUUAAAAGUUCGGGGCUUAACCCCGUGAUGGGAUGGAAACUGCCAAUCUAGAGUAUCGGAGAGGAAAGUGGAAUUCCUAGUGUAGCGGUGAAAUGCGUAGAUAUUAGGAAGAACACCAGUGGCGAAGGCGACUUUCUGGACGAAAACUGACGCUGAGGCGCGAAAGCCAGGGGAGCGAACGGGAUUAGAUACCCCGGUAGUCCUGGCCGUAAACGAUGGGUACUAGGUGUAGGAGGUAUCGACCCCUUCUGUGCCGGAGUUAACGCAAUAAGUACCCCGCCUGGGGAGUACGACCGCAAGGUUGAAACUCAAAGGAAUUGACGGGGGCCCGCACAAG
RNAcentral lists this ribosomal RNA (611 nucleotides) under uncultured bacterium. RNAcentral describes it as "bacterial SSU rRNA". It matches the Rfam family "Bacterial small subunit ribosomal RNA", at positions 327 to 929 of the family's 1533-position model. The record is from RNAcentral.